Molecule: ribosomal RNA, 576 nt
Filed under: Pseudomonas aeruginosa
Lineage: Bacteria; Pseudomonadati; Pseudomonadota; Gammaproteobacteria; Pseudomonadales; Pseudomonadaceae
Also listed under: 1 other name
Description: partial 23S ribosomal RNA
Rfam family: Bacterial large subunit ribosomal RNA
Source: RNAcentral
UUGACUGCGAGACAGACACGUCGAGCAGGUACGAAAGUAGGUCUUAGUGAUCCGGUGGUUCUGUAUGGAAGGGCCAUCGCUCAACGGAUAAAAGGUACUCCGGGGAUAACAGGCUGAUACCGCCCAAGAGUUCAUAUCGACGGCGGUGUUUGGCACCUCGAUGUCGGCUCAUCACAUCCUGGGGCUGAAGCCGGUCCCAAGGGUAUGGCUGUUCGCCAUUUAAAGUGGUACGCGAGCUGGGUUUAGAACGUCGUGAGACAGUUCGGUCCCUAUCUGCCGUGGACGUUUGAGAUUUGAGAGGGGCUGCUCCUAGUACGAGAGGACCGGAGUGGACGAACCUCUGGUGUUCCGGUUGUCACGCCAGUGGCAUUGCCGGGUAGCUAUGUUCGGAAAAGAUAACCGCUGAAAGCAUCUAAGCGGGAAACUUGCCUCAAGAUGAGAUCUCACUGGGAACUUGAUUCCCCUGAAGGGCCGUCGAAGACUACGACGUUGAUAGGCUGGGUGUGUAAGCGUUGUGAGGCGUUGAGCUAACCAGUACUAAUUGCCCGUGAGGCUUGACCAUAUAACACCCAAACA